UCUCUAGUCUCUUCGGAAAGUCUGAAGACAUGUCAUAUGGAUGAUGACAUCAACAGAUGAAAAUGUUCCUCUGACAUGAUGGGCUGGCUAGGCUCAUACCAACGCUGCACCGAGCUCCCUUCCCUUCAAAAUGAGCAGCAGCAGCAGAAGCAGGAGCUCUCAUGGACCUUGUUCUAAUUCACCCUCCAGACAAGUCAAUAGUAUAAAGGCAUCCAAGGUCACCAGAACGAUCGUACACUCUUCUUCUACCCUCAUCUCCCUUCCUGCACUUCUUUAGGUUGCACUCAAAUUGGCUCUGGAUUCAGCAACUGGCAUCAGUUGGCACUACUUGAAGGUGAUCCAGUUGUUCUUGGUCAGAAGGCUCACGUGGUUGCUCUCGUGACCAGCAGGCCAUUCUUUUUCUGGGGUCUUGUGCAGUGACCGAGAAUGCAGAGCCUUUGAGUGCACCAAAGUCCUGUGAGCAGCUUUUCUUUUCUUUUCUUUUUCUUUAGUAAACUAGAUCUGGGUAUACGGCCUCUAAAGAACCCGGGACACACAGCAUCUUUGUCAUCUAGUUGCCUAAGACUUUAAGCUGGUGACUCCUCUUCCCUUCUGGAUUCUCUGAUAUCAGGAACAUUGGAGUGGAGAUUGCGGGGGUUUCAGAGGGAAGUCACUGCCUUGAAAUCAAGAGCUGUUGUUCGAACCAGGUCUCAAGACAAUGUUGGUAAGCAAUGGGGUCUUCUAUCCUAUUCUGGGGCUUGCAUCUUGUGUGGCUUUCAUAUACUUGUCCUUUGGGGACUUGGAGUUCCAGUUCCAUUUCCAUUUCAUGGAGCCCAAGAUGAGCUUUGUGGAGAGGAAGGGGGCUCAGUUCACUGUGGAUGGGAGGGCAUUCUAUGUGAAUGGUUGGAACUCCUAUUGGCUGAUGGAUCAGGCUGUGGAGGAGUACAGCAGGCCUAGGGUGAGGGCAAUGUUCCAGAAUGGGGCAAAGAUGGGGCUUACGGUUUGCAGGACUUGGGCCUUCAAUGAUGGCGCAUACAAUGCCUUGCAAGUUUCGCCAGGCCGAUUCGAUGAACGUGUCUUCAAGGCAUUAGAUCGAGUCAUUGUGGAGGCACGAAGACAUGGCAUCAGGCUACUACUAAGUUUGGCAAACAAUUUAGAAGCUUAUGGUGGCAAGACACAGUACGUUAAAUGGGCAUGGGAGGAGGGCAUUGGAUUGAGCUCCUCCAAUGAUUCCUUCUUCUACGAUCCAUCCAUUCGUAGUUAUUUCAAGACUUACCUGAAGACUAUAUUAACAAGGAAGAAUCACUUGAAUGGAAUUCAAUAUAAGGAUGAUCCUACCAUCUUUGCAUGGGAGUUGAUGAACGAACCGCGAUGUAUGUCUGAUGCAACUGGGGACACUCUCCAAGAUUGGAUUGAAGAAAUGGCAGCAUACGUGAAAGCAAUUGACAGGAAGCAUCUUUUAACAGUUGGACUCGAAGGAUUUUACGGUCCAACAUGUCCGCCCGAGAAGUUGAGUGUGAAUCCUGGACCAUGGUUCAGGACACUCGGAUCAGAUUUCAUCCGCAACUCCAAAAUCUUGGAUAUCGACUUUGCUUCAGUUCAUAUUUAUCCUGACCACUGGUUGGUGCAAGCUGGUCUUGAUGAGAAAAUGAAGUACAUCUCCAAAUGGGUGGUCUCUCACAUUGAAGAUGGAGACAGUGUACUGAAGAAACCCGUUCUGUUCACAGAAUUUGGACUCUCAAACAGGAACGAAAACUUCAAUCACUCCCACAGAGAUGUCUUCUACAAGAAUAUUUUUGACAUCAUCCAUGAGUCUGCAACUAAAAAUGGAGCUGGGGCAGGUGCCUUCGUUUGGCAAUUUAUGGUUGAAGGCAUGCAAGAAAACAACGACGAUUUCGGAAUUGUCCCAUGGGAGAGACCUUCCACGUAUCAGCUGAUUAAGGAGCAGUCAUGUCGGCUGGCGUCGCUACAUUACGCGAAGGAUUUGGCAAAGAAAAGUUUCAGGAAAAUCUGCUUAGAGUGAACAAACAAUAUCUCCCUUUCUCCUGUUUUCUGCUGAAAUCCACAGGGGGGAAGCUGAGAUUGUCGCUAGUCACUGCAUCUGCGAGUGUACGCUUGGAGUGAUCCAGUUAUUGUAUCCUGGAGGAUAUGCCGUAAUUACUUGCUACAUCGAGAUUCAUUCUCCGAGGGGCGAGAUCUAUUUUUAAGGACAAUGACAACAAGCCUCAACCUCGAUAAGUUUUCUUACCAUCUAUUCUUUUCCUAACAAGUUGCACUUGGCUAUCAUUGUCAGUAUUGAGUAUAAUGUAAGAAUACUAGAUAUUCUAUCACUGAAGUCUUCUUAUGAGCUGCAUGUAUGGAACUUUGAGUGGUGAUAUGACAGCAAAUUAAACUAGACAAAAGAAUUCAUACAGAAAUAAGGCCAAAUCCAAAUUUUACUAAAAGCAACCCAUUAAUUAUAACAGCUAAUAGAAAUUAGUAGGAAACUAGAUAAGGAAGCCAGAUACAGUGUCUUCCUCCCAGCCUUACAACAAUAACACACCAUUACAGAAGCACAUCCUUACAACAA
Phoenix dactylifera (date palm) is the source of this 2548-nucleotide non-coding RNA. The record is from RefSeq and is a predicted model, not a curated record. NCBI's taxonomy places the organism in Eukaryota, Viridiplantae, Streptophyta, Magnoliopsida, Arecales, Arecaceae.